UUCCUACGGGGCGCAGCAGUGAGGAAUAUUGGUCAAUGGGCGGGAGCCUGAACCAGCCAAGUCGCGUGAGGGAAGACGGUCCUAUGGAUUGUAAACCUCUUUAGGCGGGGAGCAAUGCCGGGCACGCGUGCCCGGAGGGAGAGUACCCGCAGAAUUAGCAUCGGCUAACUCCGUGCCAGCAGCCGCGGUAAUACGGAGGAUCCAAGCGUUAUCCGGAUUUAUUGGGUUUAAAGGGUGCGUAGGCGGUUUGAUAAGUUAGAGGUGAAAUACCGGUGCUCAACACCGGAACUGCCUCUAAUAAUGUU
This 305-nucleotide ribosomal RNA is filed under the name uncultured bacterium. Its description in RNAcentral is "bacterial SSU rRNA". It matches the Rfam family "Bacterial small subunit ribosomal RNA", at positions 336 to 637 of the family's 1533-position model. The record is from RNAcentral.